Molecule: ribosomal RNA, 253 nt
Filed under: uncultured bacterium
Lineage: Bacteria
Description: partial 16S ribosomal RNA
Rfam family: Bacterial small subunit ribosomal RNA
Source: RNAcentral
UACGUAGGGGGCAAGCGUUGUCCGGAAUCAUUGGGCGUAAAGCGCGUGUAGGCGGCUUGGUAAGUCUGCUCUGAAAGCCCGGGGCUCAACCCCGGGAGGCGGGUGGAUACUGUCAAGCUCGAGUCCGGAAGAGGAGUGUGGAAUUCCUGGUGUAGCGGUGAAAUGCGCAGAUAUCAGGAAGAACACCCGUGGCGAAGGCGGCUCUCUGGGACGGUACUGACGCUGAGACGCGAAAGCGUGGGGAGCGAACAGG